GAACUGGACUGAACUGAAAAUCCUACAAAGAAAGGGCUAUUGUUAUCAUUCCUACUUUAGAGAAAGUCAAGGCACAGAGAAAUCACAUAGCUUGUUUAGAGUCAGAGCUUCGUGGAGAUGGAGCUGGGGCAGUUCCUGGUUUGCAGAGUUGAAACCUGAAACUACUGUACUAACCAAACCUGAGGUUGGCUGGGGCUUGUGUCAAACUUAACAUCAGUGAGGCCACACACCNNNNNNNNNNNNNNNNNNNNNNNNNNNNUGGAUACAGAGUUUUGGUACCUUGGAAUGGCUUGCCUGAGAGUGAAAAACUAUUGGAGGAGUUUCAUGUGUGUGGUGAGGUGAGGUCAUGUAGGGCGAAGAGAGGAAAAAAGAGAGUGAUCCUUACUUUGAAGAAGAGAGUGUAUUGAAUAUUUCACACAGGACACCCAGAAAUCAGACCUUCAUCUUCCUUUCACCCUCUGUCUUGCCCUCACUGAGCACACUUAAAGAGAAAAUGAAUUCUGCCCAUUGAAAAAGGGCAGACUGCAAUGAAAAACAACUUUAAAGAUAUUUCAGUAUAUAAAGUCUUUGAGCUACAUCACUGACAAUGGUUUACAAGUUUAUUUUCCACUUGCAGUUGUGCUGAGCAGACACUUCGGGAAGUGUGGCAGUAAUUCAGGCUGUGGGCUGCAGCAGCAUCUGCUGGGCGUCCCAUCUGUACAAGAGCGGGUUGUCCUAGACAGUCAGGUGCAGAUUUAUCCAGACACGUCGUCUGCAAAAUGGCCAGCCAGGAGAGAUUUAAACAUUCUUUUCCUCACCCUUUUUGCUAAGUAUACAAUUCUAAGAAAGCAGAUUUCCCAGCAAAGACUUUUCUCCACCUCCACCCAAAGAAGAAACAAACUUUGAACAGAGGAAAGACAAUACAGGCUCUAAGUCCAUGUUUCAGUGUCAGCGCCUGGCACUUGUUGAUUGGCAACCUUGAGCAAACCCUCUGAAUUAGAAAAGAUUUCAUUUGUAAAACGGGCUGUGGGGGCAGUUAAAGGAGAUAAUAGCCAUUAUCUUCUUAUGCUACAUAAAAACAGCUGAUUUUUUUUAGUUGUCUGUUCCGAGCAGCACUUAGCAUAGCAGUGGCACAUAAUCCAUGCUGCAUGACUGGACAUAUGACUGACUCUAUCCACUGAAAAUGAC
This 1167-nucleotide long non-coding RNA is filed under the name Capra hircus (goat). RNAcentral describes it as "lncRNA (ENSCHIG00010015280.1)". The record is from RNAcentral. Lineage: Eukaryota; Metazoa; Chordata; Mammalia; Artiodactyla; Bovidae.